RNAcentral lists this long non-coding RNA (412 nucleotides) under Hordeum vulgare. RNAcentral's name for it is "long non-coding RNA (HVUL_LNC003039)". The record is from RNAcentral. Lineage: Eukaryota; Viridiplantae; Streptophyta; Magnoliopsida; Poales; Poaceae.
CGAGGAGCAGCGAGGCGGCGGAGAGCAGCACGCAGGCGCUCCACAGCACGGCGUGGUCGCCGCUGAGCUGCCUCGCCCGCCUCCUCGCGCUCGCCAUCUCCAUGACGCGCUCUCCUCCCUCCUGUCCUGCCGCUGGACACUUGGGCGUAUCUGCGUGGCAUGGCACGGCACGAACGUAGUACAAAGGAUGAAUCACUUGGGUUUGAUCGCUUGCUGGCGUGCUCUAGUUGUUGCCGCUGGACGUUGGUUCUUGCUCUGUUUUGAGUACGGUUGCUUUCCCUGAAACAAAACGAGCAAGAGAGAACGGUUGCUCCUGGAUUUUGCGGAGGAACCGACGCGCUGGUGGUGGACGAAACUUGGCGCUGUGCGCUCCCGUCCCGGAGAGCCCGAAGAAGCGGCGAUGGUGGGGUGC